AUAUUAUGUAUCCAAAAUAUGUAUAAAUAUAUCCAUAUCCCAGAACCCUAGUACACGGAACUGCAACAGGAAUACUUUGAAUCCUUCGGCUUCACUGCUUCCAGUAACUGGACACGCAUAACUAGGAGGCUGUGAGGGGUCAACCACGCCUUGAUUCCAGUCUCAGCCCAGUGAAGGUUAACUCUGUGACCUGGCGUCAAGUUAUUUCCACUUCUUUCAGGCUCAUCUCAGUCGUUGCUUCUUCGAGGCAGUCUCUCCUCAGCGCCUGGGCUCCCAUUUCAUACGGCACCAUGAACUGUCUCGUACCCCUGUCACAAUUCUAAUCAGCAUCUUUUCCUCUUGGGAAUUUCCCACUAUCCACCACAAGGCUAUGUAUGCAUCCUCUGAUCUCAGGACCCCAGAUACAAGGGACACAAGCCCUUCGGUCUGGUUCACACAGAAUCCUCAGCACCUAGGACAAUGCCUGGCUCGGAGCAAGCACCUGAUCAGUUUACUACGGGAAUAAAUACGACCCACAUCGACAAAACUCUCACACAUCCUUGAGAGUCGUGGAUGCAAACUUGAGUAUCUGGAGAGAUAUGCCACAUUUCUCACUAGAGGGCUUAAUGUCAUAAAGAUGUCGAUUCUCCCCAAACUUAACUACUAAAUUAACACAAUUCUAACCAAUGGAAACAUUCUAAAGGGUAUCUGAAAAAUAAUUGCUAG
Molecule: long non-coding RNA, 705 nt
Filed under: Equus caballus (horse)
Lineage: Eukaryota; Metazoa; Chordata; Mammalia; Perissodactyla; Equidae
Description: lncRNA (ENSECAG00000048444.1)
Source: RNAcentral